AGCCCUAGGAGCUCCCCUCAACUGCAGAAGGAGGAAGAACUGGGCUGGAGUGCAGUGGAAGAUGAAAGGAGGCAUCAUGCAAAGCCAGGCGUGAGCCCUGCAAGUGGCAGGGAUUCAGCAGUGAUGGGUCUGUGGCUACCCCAGGAGUUUAUCAUGAGCCACACUGGGAGUGGUGUACAAGAGAAAUCUGGCGGUGGCAAAAAGGACCUGACCCGUUCCCAGGCUGAACUUCCUGGGGCUGUAUACUUUG
RNAcentral lists this long non-coding RNA (250 nucleotides) under Struthio camelus australis. RNAcentral describes it as "lncRNA (ENSSCUG00000013805.1)". The record is from RNAcentral. Lineage: Eukaryota; Metazoa; Chordata; Aves; Struthioniformes; Struthionidae.